Long non-coding RNA from Apis florea (little honeybee), 787 nucleotides. RefSeq lists it as uncharacterized. Lineage: Eukaryota; Metazoa; Arthropoda; Insecta; Hymenoptera; Apidae. The record is from RefSeq and is a predicted model, not a curated record.
UUAUCCAAUUAUUUUUCAGAUUACCCUGUACACACGUAGAUAUACAACGAAAUAAUAUAUGGCGGUUAUAUCGUUAACGUUCAUUCUUGCUAUCACUGCAUAUAAUACUAUAAUAUCCACAAUGAUGAAGAGAGUGAAAGAGAUUGACUAGGCACGAGCUAUGAUGCGAUCCAAGUAUGCUCUGAACGUUUUCUCUGCGUAUAAAUGCGUGUUGAGGGAUUGAAUAGGAAAUGGAUGGAUAAUAAUUACAUAAAGAGGUAGAAGCAACGAUGGAAAAACGAGUGGAUGAAUCAACAGCAUGAAAAUUCAAUUGGAUAUAUACUUUAAUUAACAAGAUGCUCUCCGACAUUAUUAUACAACUGUCUGCAGGUACAAAUAGGGAAAAUUAGCGGGCAGAAUAAGAAGUGGUGAAAGAAUGUAGCGAUAAAGGAAGAUAGAAGAAUGUGAGAGAAAGGCAGAAAAUAUACAUAUAUAUAAAUUAUAUAUAUGUACAUAUAUAUAUAUAUAUAGAGAGAGAGAGAGAAAGAGCUGCAGCAAAAGCCUGAGCCACCUGCAGAGUUUUUCCGCUACUUCCAGGUAACCAGUUUCACUGUACCUUUGUUGCGAGGGUGGAGCUGGGGUUUCAGAUCCCGAUUGCAAAAAUCCUCUUUGCAGCACUCGAUGACAAAGGUCGUGUUUCGCGAGUCGCUCGUCAUGCAGAAGAUGAGCGGCUCGGGCUGCGACGACGACAGCUGUUUAUUCACGCACCUUCAAGCCGAGUUUGCACCAUUUUCAGAAUACAAAAAAA